This 492-nucleotide ribosomal RNA is filed under the name uncultured bacterium. RNAcentral's name for it is "partial 16S ribosomal RNA". It matches the Rfam family "Bacterial small subunit ribosomal RNA", at positions 29 to 507 of the family's 1533-position model. The record is from RNAcentral.
AGUGAACGCUGGCGGUAGGCCUAUCACAUGCAAGUCGAACGGCAGCACAGUAAGAGCUUGCUCUUACGGGUGGCGAGUGGCGGACGGGUGAGGAAUACAUCGGAAUCUACUUUUUCGUGGGGGAUAACGUAGGGAAACUUACGCUAAUACCGCAUACGACCUACGGGUGAAAGCAGGGGAUCUUCGGACCUUGCGCGAUUGAAUGAGCCGAUGUCGGAUUAGCUAGUUGGCGGGGUAAAGGCCCACCAAGGCGACGAUCCGUAGCUGGUCUGAGGGGAUGAUCAGCCACACUGGAACUGAGACACGGUCCAGACUCCUACGGGAGGCAGCAGUGGGGAAUAUUGGACAAUGGGCGAAAGCCUGAUCCAGCCAUACCGCGUGGGUGAAGAAGGCCUUCGGGUUGUAAAGCCCUUUUGUUGGGAAAGAAAAGCAGCAGGUUAAUACCCCGCUGUUCUGACGGUACCCAAAGAAUAAGCACCGGCUAACUUCGUG